UGGUCUUACAAGAACUACUAAUCUUAGAAAAGUAAGAAAUGUGAAGAAAAAGAGAAAUUACAAGUAGACUACUCCUAGAAAGCAGAAAAUGCAGAAAAAUAAGUUGGUCUUCUUAUUCUCGGGGAAAAAGACCCUUCUGUCAGGCGUCUUCUGUUUAUUUAUAACUCUGUCCCUUGUUUAUUCAAUUAUUUCCCCCUAUCAGCCACGUUCCUAUUUCUACGGACCACUUCCGGCCGAUCUUAACUACAUCGGUUUUAACAGUUCUUCAGUUUUAAAUGUGUUCUUCUCAACUCCUAGCGCACCACAUGUCACCUAUUCC
This 319-nucleotide long non-coding RNA is filed under the name Ananas comosus (pineapple). RNAcentral's name for it is "long non-coding RNA (ACOM_LNC030524)". Lineage: Eukaryota; Viridiplantae; Streptophyta; Magnoliopsida; Poales; Bromeliaceae. The record is from RNAcentral.